AAUUAUCUGUUAGCUUUUGUUUUCCUGUCACAACUUUAUGUUUAUGUGGCUAAUUGUAGCCGAAAGUUUUAUUUAUCAAUCUUAUUUUUCACAGCAUAAAUGAAACUGUGUUUCAAGAACAAGGUGCUGCUACAUCAUUCAAGGAAAUUCGUCGUAGAGGUCUUUCUCUUUACCAGAUUUCGUAGCUGAAGUUUAUGAAGUAAUCAAACCGGUGUUAACUUCUUAUAUAAAGGUAGAUUCCCAAACUUUGAAGAAACACUACAGUACUGAGGUAAUUGAAUGUUGUAAGGCAGAGCAUCGGGCUUACUAGAGCCAAGGUAUCUUCUUCGAUAACAAGGAAUAAAGGAAAAUGAAAUAUAACCAAACUUGGGAUCUUUGCAAGCAAGCUUCCAUGAAGAAACUAGGUUACAAGGGGAGGUCUUCUGUUCUCCUUUUUCUUUUUUUCUUUCCAUCCGUAGAAUCUUGCUUAAAAUGCUUUGAGGACAAUGCAAAUUUUUAAGUGGGGGGUGGAGUUGUAGCCUUGCACAUUCCAUGUCCUUUGGGAAAUUUUCAUUUUGCAAAUUUUGCUAAAAAUGUCAAAAUUUAGAAACUUUUG
Cucumis sativus (cucumber) is the source of this 595-nucleotide long non-coding RNA. RefSeq lists it as uncharacterized. The transcript is spliced from 4 exons. NCBI's taxonomy places the organism in Eukaryota, Viridiplantae, Streptophyta, Magnoliopsida, Cucurbitales, Cucurbitaceae. The record is from RefSeq and is a predicted model, not a curated record.